GCAGAGACUCAACCUGAAGAAAGAAUAAAACUUAACUGUAAAUGAAUCUGAGUUCAUGUGUGAAAAUAACAGAUAUUCAUGUCAGCACAGACUCAUAACAUGGAAGAUAAAUAUGAAAUCAGACAUGUUGGACUAAAGACGAGUCCUGAUUCAGUAACAAUAGAUUAUUUGGACCCGGUCUCUGUCCUGCAGAUCAGUUUAG
RNAcentral lists this unclassified non-coding RNA (202 nucleotides) under Hevea brasiliensis (rubber tree). The record is from RNAcentral. Lineage: Eukaryota; Viridiplantae; Streptophyta; Magnoliopsida; Malpighiales; Euphorbiaceae.